Molecule: long non-coding RNA, 1357 nt
Organism: Drosophila novamexicana
Lineage: Eukaryota; Metazoa; Arthropoda; Insecta; Diptera; Drosophilidae
Exons: 3
Source: RefSeq, a predicted model, not a curated record
AACUGAAAUAUUAAUUUAAAUAAAAUAAUUUAUUAAUAAACCACAUAUUAUGAAAUGACAUAAAUUCUAUGAAAUGUAUGUUCUUAUCCUUGCUAAUUGAUUGCUUAAGAUUUAACUGUAUUCCAGGACGAAUGUUUCUGCAAAUUUUCAAUUGCAAUUGUAAGUUUCUAUUUUGAUGUCAUAAAAUCUAACUUUAAGAAUUUGAAAAAGAGUCCUGUGUCAAACAACUCGUGUGAACAAGGACCAUAAACUGUCCAAAGGACAUCAAGAACGUCUCUAUGGUUUCCGAGAUAUGGAUAUUGUCUUUUUUAAGGACAUUCCAUUGACCACCCAGGGAACCAUUCUGAUGUCCUUUGGACAACAAGUGCUGCUUAUUCUGCCAACUUAAAAUAUGUAAUCAAAAGGACGGAAAUCCUAAAUAGAGCUGAGGAAAGGAGGUUUUUGUUGGCACAGAUAAAUGGCUGUAUAUACAAUGAAAGGGUCGAAAGUCCUUCAGAAUGCCUAGAUAUCCUGACAAGUCCUGUGUCAAACAACUCGUGUAUACAAGGACCAUAAACUGUCCAAAGAUCGUCCUUAUGGUUUCCGAGGUAUACAUAUUGUCUUUUUUAAGGACAUUCCAUUGACCACUCAAAGGACCAUUCUGAUGUCCUUUGGACAACAAGUGCUGCCUGUUCUGCCAAAAUAUGAAAUAAAAAGGACGAAAAUGCUUCAAGGAGCUGAGGAAAAGAGGUUUUUUUCGGCACAGGUAAAUGGCUAUAGAUCGGCCGUAUCCUUGCCGAUCAUGAUGUCCUUUGGCCAACCGUUAGUGCUCAUCCUUCCGAUUCAGAAUAUACAAUGAAAAGGACGAAAGUCCUUCAGACAGCCUAGAUAUGAGUACAAUUCGAACGUAAAUUAACAAAGCUAUAACUCAUCCGUAUCCUUGCAGAUCCUGACAAGUCGUGUGGCAAACAACUCGUAUGAACAAGGACCAUAAACUGUCCAAAGGACAUCAAGAUCGUCCUUGCCGUUUCCGAUAUAUGGCUAAUUUUCUAAAAAGGACAUUUUUCAAAUGGCCAUAACUCGGCCAAAUCCUGAAGGAUAUCGCCAGGAUAUGGCUUAUUAAACUCGUGGCGAGCAGAUCUAUCGAUUGGCAUUCAAGGAUUUCCAGGAUUCGACAAAAAAUUUCAUCGAAAUUUUUCCAAGGGGACUGACAAAUUAAGGACUACAUUGAGCUCCAAGGACCUUCACGAGUAACAAAGCAGAUUUUUGCAGGAUCGGACUUUAAUUAAGCUAGAUAUGGUCAUUUUAAGUUCAAACUCGAUUUGUAUAACUUUAAGAGAAAUAAUUAAGAAAUUAACAUACAAAACAACAAAUUUAU